Nicotiana tabacum (common tobacco) is the source of this 1406-nucleotide non-coding RNA. Lineage: Eukaryota; Viridiplantae; Streptophyta; Magnoliopsida; Solanales; Solanaceae. The record is from RefSeq and is a predicted model, not a curated record.
CACAGGACCGUCUUAUUAAUUAGACGAAACCUCGAAAUCAUCAUUGAUCCAAGUGAUUUGGUCUACAAAUUGUAAAUUUAACUAAAACCCAAAAGGCAAAAACUUCAAAGUAGCCUCUAAUCAUCAAUGGCGGAAUCAAAAGUUGCAGAGGAGGGAGGAUCUGUAACACCGAAGAAGGGGCCAAAAUGCUUUUGCAGUUUACCAGGUUAUAUCGAGGAGACACCAGGAGGAGGAUGCUGCGUUUGCAAUCCAGAUUUAGCCCCCGAUUAUUCUUAUUACCUCUCUGAUGAUGAUGAUUUGCCUGAAGAUCAUCGCCUUGCUCUUGAACAAAUUCGGUUGAAUUACCACCAUCAGUCGAAAAAAUCCAAUGUUUGCUUCCUUCCUUUCUUUUUUUCUCUUAUUAAAGUUCUGUCGUUCAAUUUUUGGUCAAGCCUUUGAUUUGAUUCGUCUGCUUUAUUUAUAUUUCAUGCCUUCAUACUUUUUUUUUUGAGCCUAUGAUUCAUCGUAUGCUAAACUCUGUUAUUUCUAUUCAUUUUUGCCCCUGAUAAUAGGUUUCCAUUCUCCAUGAAUAUGAUUAAGACAAAUGUUUAUUUUUAAUUAUGUUUUUGGAAGGAAUUGUUUGGGUCUCUUUGGCAUCAAUUCUUCGAUCCCAACUGUUUGGCCCCCUUUUCCCUUUUAACUAAGUGACUGGUCGGUUCCAACUACAUUAUUUUAGCUUCCUGUGUUUGAAUUUGUUUGUUUUAAUUUGGAUAGAUUUGUCCAAUUCCAUUAUGAUCCCUCUUCUUUCUUCCAGUUUGGCGGAUAGGUUUCACCGCUGUUGGCUUGUUUGACAGGGUUUUGAAUUUGUUGACUAUCCCGGUCAGGCGGUCAUGAUGUUCCAAUAACAUCAUAUUUGGAUUUCAAGAUCCAUAACGACUAUGGGGUACUGAUUGAACUGGCUAACCGUGCUAUCCAAGAGUAUAAUGAGAAAGAGUGCAAUGUUUUCAAGUACAAGUUCUUGAAGAUUGAGAAAGUGUAUUUUAUAUCGUUGCGAUGGGAACAAUUUUUAAUGACUGUUAGAGUCUUAAAUCUCACUCUUCCUACUCCUAUUGAAACUUUUCAAAUCCAUGUUGCUAUAAGAAUCCCUGAUGGUAUCAAAUAAGUCAUUUGUUGCGGGCCAAAAGGAGUGGAUCCGGUUAUUGGUCCGUUUGCCAAGCCGAUUAGAGAUGAUUGGCCUCCGGAGCGGAUCCAGGAGUACAAGAGAAUACGCAAUGCGUUACUACAAUGAUGUUGAUCUAGAAUUUGAAUUUGAUCAGGUACAACUAGGAUUGUCCUUCGAGGAAAGGAAAAGGCAUUUGAAUUAUAGCUAAUUUAAUGUUAGAUUGUUUUAGAUUUCAUCAUUUGCAGUCUCAAGCGUUUUACUUUGA